RNAcentral lists this ribosomal RNA (468 nucleotides) under uncultured bacterium. RNAcentral describes it as "partial 16S ribosomal RNA". It matches the Rfam family "Bacterial small subunit ribosomal RNA", at positions 28 to 507 of the family's 1533-position model. The record is from RNAcentral.
GACGAACGCUGGCGGCGUGCUUAACACAUGCAAGUCGAACGGAAAGGCCCUGAUUUUGUGGGGUGCUCGAGUGGCGCACGGGUGAGUAAAACGUGAGUAACCUGCCCUUGACUUUGGGAUAACUUCAGGAAACUGGGGCUAAUACCGGAUAGGAGAUCCUGCUGCAUGGUGGGGGUUGGAAAAUUUCGGCGGUUGGGGAUGGACUCGCGGCUUAUCAGCUUGUUGGUGGGGUAGUGGAGUACCAAGGCUUUGACGGGUAGCCGGCCUGAGAGGGUGACCGGCCACAUUGGGACUGAGAGACGGCCCAGACUCCUACGGGCGGCAGCAGUGGGGAAUAUUGCACAAUGGGCGGAAGCCUGAUGCAGCAACGCCGCGUGCGGGAUGACGGCCUUCGGGUUGUAAACCUCUUUCGCCUGUGACGAAGCGUGAUUGACGGUAAUGGGUCAAGAAGCACCGGCUAACUACGUG